ACAUACACAUAUUGUGGCUGUGUGACCUCUUUCGGUCAUGAAUUACCAUGGGAUUGCACCUAGAAAGUUACCCUCCCAGGCACAAGUCAGGGCAAGGUUGUUUGUGAAAGGCCAGCAGUCACCCAUGCAUACAGGCCUCUCCUCUCCACACCACUGAUGCUAUCCA
This is a long non-coding RNA of Octopus sinensis (East Asian common octopus), 166 nucleotides long. RefSeq lists it as uncharacterized. The transcript is spliced from 3 exons. NCBI's taxonomy places the organism in Eukaryota, Metazoa, Mollusca, Cephalopoda, Octopoda, Octopodidae. The record is from RefSeq and is a predicted model, not a curated record.